Molecule: long non-coding RNA, 178 nt
Organism: Salvia splendens (bonfire salvia)
Lineage: Eukaryota; Viridiplantae; Streptophyta; Magnoliopsida; Lamiales; Lamiaceae
Exons: 3
Source: RefSeq, a predicted model, not a curated record
GACGGGGGAAAACUACCGUUCAUUCGCUAAGAAUUUGCUCAAAAUCCGUUCAAGGUUAUCUCCGCGAGUAAGGUCGGAGUAAGAAAUUCAAGUUAAAGGAACUAAACGAACAAGGUUGAGCAGCGAAGUGGUGGAGGAAGUGCUAUUGAGACAAGACAUUUAAUUCAGUCAGAUUUUG